CCUACGGGAGGCAGCAGUGGGGAAUAUUGGACAAUGGGGGGAACCCUGAUCCAGCCAUGCCGCGUGUGUGAAGAAGGCCUUAUGGUUGUAAAGCACUUUAAGCGAGGAGGAGGCUCUUUUGGUUAAUACCCAAGAGUAGUGGACGUUACUCGCAGAAUAAGCACCGGCUAACUCUGUGCCAGCAGCCGCGGUAAU
Molecule: ribosomal RNA, 195 nt
Filed under: bacterium rP4
Lineage: Bacteria
Description: partial 16S rRNA
Rfam family: Bacterial small subunit ribosomal RNA
Source: RNAcentral